This 253-nucleotide ribosomal RNA is filed under the name uncultured bacterium. RNAcentral describes it as "partial 16S ribosomal RNA". It matches the Rfam family "Bacterial small subunit ribosomal RNA", at positions 524 to 776 of the family's 1533-position model. The record is from RNAcentral.
UACAGAGGUCUCAAGCGUUGUUCGGAUUCAUUGGGCGUAAAGGGUGCGUAGGUGGUGCUGUAAGUCGGGUGUGAAAUUUCGGAGCUUAACUCCGAAACUGCAUUCGAUACUGCGGUGCUUGAGGACUGGAGAGGAGACUGGAAUUCAUGGUGUAGCAGUGAAAUGCGUAGAGAUCAUGAGGAAGACCAGUGGCGAAGGCGGGUCUCUGGACAGUUCCUGACACUGAGGCACGAAGGCCAGGGGAGCAAACGGG